CCUACGGGAGACAGCAGUGGGGAAUAUUGCACAAUGGGGGAAACCCUGAUGCAGCGACGCCGCGUGAGUGAAGAAGUAAUUCGUUAUGUAAAGCUCUAUCAGCAGGGAAGAAAAUGACGGUACCUGAGUAAGAAGCCCCGGCUAACUACGUGCCAGCAGCCGCGGUAAUACGUAGGGGGCAAGCGUUAUCCGGAUUUACUGGGUGUAAAGGGAGCGUAGACGGCAGUGCAAGUCUGGAGUGAAAGGCGGGGGCUCAACCCCCGGACUGCUCUGGAAACUGUACGGCUGGAGUGCAGGAGAGGUAAGUGGAAUUCCUAGUGUAGCGGUGAAAUGCGGAGAUAUUAGGAGGAACACCAGUGGCGAAGGCGGCUUACUGGACUGUAACUGACGUUGAGGCUCGAAAGCGUGGGGAGCAAACAGGAUUAGAUACCCUGGUAGUC
Molecule: ribosomal RNA, 440 nt
Filed under: uncultured bacterium
Lineage: Bacteria
Description: partial 16S ribosomal RNA
Rfam family: Bacterial small subunit ribosomal RNA
Source: RNAcentral